GACGAACGCUGGCGGCGUGCUUAACACAUGCAAGUCGAACGGAAAGGCCCUGCUUUUGUGGGGUGCUAGAGUGGCGAACGGAAGAGUGACACGUGAGUACCCUGCCCUGGAUUUUGGGAUAACUUCAGGAAACUGGGGCUCAUACCGGAUAGGAGCUCCUGCUGCAUGGAGGGGGUUGGGAAGUUUCGGCGGUUGGGGAUGGACUGGCGGCUUACCAGCUUGUUGGUGGGGGAGUGGCUAACCAAGGCUUUGACGGGUAGCCGGCUUGAGAGGGUGACCGGCAACAUGGGGACGGCAAGCGGGCCCGGGCUCCUACGGGGGGCAGCAGUGGGGAAUAUUGCACAUUGGGCGGAAGCCGGAUGCAUCAACGCCGCGUGCGGAUUGACGGCCUUCGGGUUGUAAACCGCUUUCGCCUGUGACGAAGCGUGCGUGACGGUAACCUGUAAAGAAGCACCGGCUAACUACGUG
This 468-nucleotide ribosomal RNA is filed under the name uncultured bacterium. RNAcentral's name for it is "partial 16S ribosomal RNA". It matches the Rfam family "Bacterial small subunit ribosomal RNA", at positions 28 to 507 of the family's 1533-position model. The record is from RNAcentral.